Molecule: ribosomal RNA, 301 nt
Filed under: uncultured bacterium
Lineage: Bacteria
Description: partial 16S ribosomal RNA
Rfam family: Bacterial small subunit ribosomal RNA
Source: RNAcentral
CAGUAGCCACGGGAUUACGAAGGGUGCAAGCGUUACUCGGAAUUACUGGGCGUAAAGCGUGCGUAGGUGGUGGUUUAAGUCCGUUGUGAAAGCCCUGGGCUCAACCUGGGAAUUGCAGUGGAUACUGGGUCACUAGAGUGUGGUAGAGGAUAGUGGAAUUUCCGGUGUAGCAGUGAAAUGCGUAGAGAUCGGAAGGAACAUCUGUGGCGAAGGCGACUAUCUGGGCCAACACUGACACUGAGGCACGAAAGCGUGGGGAGCAAACAGGAUUAGAUACCCCUGUAGUCCCUGUCUCUUAUAC